UGGAAUUUUAAAAUUAAAUCAUUCACUAAAAGCCAAGACAAAAAAUCAUUAAAUUUUAUAUUUCAAAAGACUUGUUGUUUUUCUGUUGUUUUUUUUAGGUUGGAGUGGGUAAUUAGUCCUUUUGCAUGACAAAAUUGAUACUCAAACACAUCUUGUAGUUUGAAAAAAUUGGUAAUAUUUAAAAGAAUGAAAUUUUGAAGGUGUGUGUUAAACCUUCACCACAACCCAACACCCAACUUUAAGAUAGACAAAAUGGAUACUCAGACGCAUCUUGUAAUGCGGCAAAAUAGUUUUUUAUACUUACUAAUUUCUCUCUGUUUAAAAAAGCAUUUAACAAUUUAUGUGAAAUUUUCAUGAAAAAAUUUUUUUUUUAGGGGCGGAAGGGGGGGCGGCAUACGCCCUCUUCCAUAAAGCAAUUUAUACACUACUAGUUACUAUUUUUUAAAGUGUUGAAAUAUAUUUUUUAUUUUUAUAAUAGAUUUAAUCAUUUUAGUAAA
Hydra vulgaris (swiftwater hydra) is the source of this 497-nucleotide non-coding RNA. The record is from RefSeq and is a predicted model, not a curated record. NCBI's taxonomy places the organism in Eukaryota, Metazoa, Cnidaria, Hydrozoa, Anthoathecata, Hydridae.